GAAGUGGUCCAUGCCCUCAGAGAGCUCGUGGUGUCUAAUGGAGGAAUUUAUUCUUUAAUUCAUUCAUUUACCAAAUGUGUAUUAAGCACCAACUAUGUGCCAGGCCCUGUGGCCAGUACUAGGGAGACAGGGAAGAAGAAAAGCUAGCUCCAGCCAUCUUCAUAGUACCACCUCAUAGACUCAUGGUCCAUAGGGGAGACAGACUUAGGGGAAAGAAUUAUAUGCCAUGAUAAAGAGAAUCACAGGAUCCUUUAAGCGCGUGUAAACAGGGUAGGGAGAGAGUCUGAGUGGGAGGGGCAGAAGGAGGGAGCAGACUGGAAUCUGGUAUGGUGCUUACCUUCCUCCUGAAACCUGCUCCUCCAGAAUGCUCCUUCCUAGACCCUGUCCCUCACCUCCACACCCAAAAAAUCUGCCAGGGCCUCCACAUGGCUCUGUCUCUGAGGAUGCCAGGCACCCUUCCUUGGUGCCUGUUGAGUGGUGCCAGGAGGCUGCAGUGUCCCACAUGGCCACUGACUCAAGUUUCCAGGCCAUAGAGGGGUGGAGUCUCAGGAUGUGGGGCCACUAUGGCCCCGCCUCCUGAGCUCCAUCGGAAAAGCUGGACUGUGGCAUUUAAAAAAAGAACCCCUAGGAUAGGAGCAAUGAAGUUGGGCACAUUCAUAUUCACACUCCCUGCCACUCCACCGGCUCUCUGGCCACCUCAUUAUACAAGGGCUGGCCAUGAUAAGUCCCCACGCCCCAUCCCUCAGGAGAGGGGCAGCAAAGCCCCUGUCCUGGAACUCAUCCAACAAAACAGCCAUUCCAGACACCUGGAUCCACCCGGCUUGGCUCCUCUUCCACUCGGCAUCCUGGCUUGCAGAUGGGUGGGACAGGCCACCCUGCUUCCAGGUAAGGACCGCAUUGCCCAGACACCCAGGGGGCCUCCCUUGGGAACACCAGUACCCUGGCACAGAGGCAAGAAGCAGCCCCUCCAUGGCCCGCCCACCUUCAGACUGGCUCAGGGAAGGCUGAGGAUCCCUCUGCUCCUUCCGCAUGGCAGCAGGGAGUCUGAUACCACCUAUGGCUGGAGGCUGGGGGGCGGGGGAGCGCUGCUCACUGUGGGAGCUUGACUCUGGCCUCAGCUCAAGGAGCAACAGUGUGGCCAGGGCCACCAACUGAUGUCCAUCCUUGGGGAUAGCCUCUCUCUCAUGCCUCCUUGGUGUCAUCAGGAGAGCACUGCAGGGUGGCCUGCCUGGGAAUGCCAGCGUCCCUCAGCUGAACGCAGGUGCCAGUGCCACUGCCACAGGUUAACCAGCAGCAGCCUACAGUAGAUGAGGUGGCCUGGAUCCUCAGGCAGCCAUGUCCUCUGCAUUUUGCUUCAGGAUGUGGGGCCACUGUGGAAUGUAAAGAUGGAAUCUGCAUCUUUACAGAUGUGGAUGAGCCUGAUGUGUGUGUGUGUGGGGGGGGUGCAGGUGUAACCCCCUGGGUGGCUCCCGUUUGUGAGGCCAAAGCCUGGGAUCUAGGGGAAAGCUACAUGGACCUGCUUUACUCCGUGGCUCAGGCCGUUAGGGAACUGGGUCUCUCAGCUUCCUCUCUGCUACAAAGCAGCUGAAUUUUGGUGCCCUUGAGACCCCAAGCACAGGGAAAGGGGCCGCUUCUGCUGCUGGUGUCACUGUCCAUGAGUCAUCUUUGUGGAGAGAAAAAUUGAGAAUUCUCAUUGCAAAGCCAGGAGCAUGGCGCUGAGCAAAGGUGUGACCAUUGUUAUCACUUUUCUGGCCAGGCGUGCGUCGCACCCCACUCUUGAGCAGCUGGCGUCCCCCAUGGCCUCCAGGCCAGGGCUCUUGGCCCUUGAAUGGCAGGGCUGCCCACUUGUCUGAGUUUCCCACAUGCAGAAGAUGGAACAAGACCUCCCUGAGCUUUUGAACAUGGUAAGGACAAUGGCACGACCACUAGGGCCUCCAGGCAAGGGGUAGGGGCAGAGAAGGAGCGCUGACCCUGCCUUAGAGCCUGGUGGGCCCUUUUCUCCUCUCAGUUCAGUUCACUGAGCUCCAUUGUAAGGUAUUAUAAGUGUUCAAGAAAUUCUGACUCUGUUAGGCUGGACAGUAUUAAAGUAUCCUGGAAACACAAAUAAUAAUAAUAGUAAUACACCAUUUAUGAUUCACUUGAUAUGUGCACUCUGAGCUCAAUGAAUUAUGUGAAUUUUAUUAUUCAGUCCUUACAACUUUUUAAGAGAGAUGUGCUGUCAUUGUCCCCAUUUUAUAACCUAGGAGACUGAGACUCUGAGGAAUGAAGUCACUAGCCCAAGGUCACACACAGCCAGUUAAGAUUAAAACUGACACCUGUCUGUCUCCAGGGUUUGUACCAUCCAUCCCUCCUACAUAUAUCCCCUGGGGUCCUGAGCUGGUGGAGGGAGGAGCACUGGAUAGAGGGUGGGUGCCAUGCUGGCCUCCACCUUUGGUCAAGUUCAUCCUGCCUCCACACAAAUUGUUUUUCUGGUCUUGGGGCUAGUGGCCUGAUGGUGGGCAGUGAGGCCUCCAGAUAUCAUGGCAGGAAGGUGGCAGCUUGCCCAUGUUUCCAGUGGCUGAGCUCCCCUGAUGCCCAGGCUGACUCUGCCCUCCACCUUGGGCCUAGGUAGUGAUUUCCCAAACCCUGGUACCUGGCAGGCAGGCAGCCAUGAGAUUGAGGACUCACCCAUAAGAUCAGAGGUGCCUUUGAAGCCCUAACCCAAACACAAGUGGGCAGAGAACCUGCCACAGAAGUCACUUGUUGGUCCCAUGUGUCCAGGAGCUCCCCCUGGACACCACUGCCACGGGUCCCAGAGCUGCCCUGGCUUCUGCACUGUGGGAAGGCAUGGCCCUACAGAGGGGAUAGGGUGGGGACAAGGGGGAAAUAGGAUACCCAACCAGCAACCAGAGGGUUCCCUCCCCUCUCCAGAGGACAUCACAGACCUAUGGGAAUGAGAGUCACCCCUUGUCUGGAGUAGCCAGGGGGAGGGAAGGGGCUCUUUCUGGGGAUUAUUACAUUCAGUCCUUCAAGCGACACAAAGAAGGUGUCAUAAUUGCCCAUUUUACAGAAGAGGAAACCCGGCUCAAGGUCCUUCAACUGGCAUGUGGCCUUGUGGUUAACUUCUCUGCUGCACCACCUCCACAGCCCUUACUAGGUUAUGACAAGGCUGGGGUUGAAGGAAAGAGAAAGGGGGUUUCAAAUGCAGGACUUAGAGAAGAGACAGGAGUCAUUCCACUCCCACCCCCCACAUCCACAAUAAACUGUGAACUCCUAAAGCCAUGAAUGAGAUUGAUCACCACUCACAGAGUCCAGGGGAGCACCUUCCCCCACGCAAGUCCUGUGUGUGCCCAGCAAUGGCACCAGCCCUGUCCUCAGACAGGUGGCAGUAGUGAGAGGGGACAGAUACGUUACAAGGCACCUACUCUGGAGAUGCAGCAUGAGUGCUAGGUGACGUGGACGGCCAGCCAACCCAGCCUGGGAGAGGGAGAGGUCAGCAAGCUUCCUGGGGUUGGGGGGGUGGGGGAGGGAGGUGAUCCUAAAGAAAGAGUAGGAAUUAAAUUAGACAAAAGUGAUAACCAGUGGUAGAGGCAGAGCGGAGCAUUAUGAGCAGGGACCAGGAAGCCUAAGUCCUUUUGAGGCAGCUGAGAAAUGGGGGUGAGGAGGUGGGGCAAGAGGCCAGAGGAGAGGGCUGUGGGUGGUCAGGCCAGAAAUCACAGACCCUAAAGGCAGGGCUUGUGAGUUUCCAAGCCUGAGGAACCUGGAACAGCCAGACACCCUCCCACAGUCUCCCCGUGGACAUCACUGUGAACCGGACCGGGAACAUUCCAGCCUAAUCAAAGCUCAGAUCGGCAAGUUCCAGAGGCUCUAUGCACUGAGGCCAAGGCCAAUUUCCCCCCGGGAGUUUGCCUGCUCCUUGCCCAGCCAGGCUGGAGUGGGGGCUCCCAGAUCCUCUGAGAUUCCUCCAGACCCUCAGAAGGUUGGAGGCCCGAGUUUUCCCUCUCCAGAUUCUGGGGCAACUGGGUAGGGAUGGAGGGGAGUGGGGUGGAAAUGGAGUCAGAGGCCCCACCUGUAUGUAGGAGGAGCUGGAAAAUCCUGCCUGAGGAAGAGGACUUUGGAGCGAUCAGGUUCUCAGGAGGCCCCUGCUCGGGCUGAUAUUUCUAGAAAGGGCCCAAAGGCAAGAUUUCAGCCUCAACCUGAGCGCAAGCUAGCACUGCUGCCCUCCACCAGCCCAGCCCUGGCCUCCUCUCAGGGGUGACUGGAAGGGAGGACAGACACUAGGAUAUGGAAGCAACAGCCCCCAGCCCUGGAAAUGGGGUGUUGUUUGGCCAACUGGACUGCAGUCUCUGUUUUCAGUUAAUAAUUUUUAUUUCAUUGUGAAAGCUUCCAUUCUUUAAUUAACAGCAUCAUGCUUUAAAAAAAAAAGAAGAUUUUAUUUUUUUAGGUAAUCUCUACACUCAACAUGGGGCUUGAACUCACAACCCUGAGAUCAAGAGUCACAUGCUCUACUGACUGGGCCAGCCAGGCACCCCAACAGUGUCAUGCUUUUGAGGGCAACGCUUUUCCUAGGAGGGUGGCAGGGUAUAGGGACAGGUAUCUUAAGUACACUACCUAAUGUCACCAAUUUCUGCCUGAGAUUAAAAAGACAGAGAUGCCCCCUUCCUUCCCUCUUUAUACAUUGGAGAACCUCCUCUAUCUCCUCACCCCUCCCUCAGCUCACACCUUCUCCCCUCUCUCUCCCUGGCUCCCGGAACUGGUCUGUGGCAUUGGCAAAAGUUAAAUACAGAGAAUCAGUGAGAAGGAAGACAGAGAGAUUAGGCUCCCUCAGGAGAAGGGGUCCCCAUCUCACCUCACAGGUUGGCCAGGCCCUGUGCCAAGCACCUUCCAUGAUUAUCUCUCAGAAUCCCUCUAACAACCUCAGAAGACAGGGGCCGUUUUCAUCUUCAUUUUACAGGAGCUAGUCUGUGGAGAAGGAAGUUUGGUUUUGAUUUACAAGUCUCCAGAGAAAGGGAAAUUCCUUUACCUCCGCUUUUGUUGGAGCAGCCAGUUGUCACUUCCUGGAGCUGUUGCUGGUCUCUCAGAUGGCCCAC
This is a long non-coding RNA of Acinonyx jubatus (cheetah), 5069 nucleotides long. RefSeq lists it as uncharacterized. NCBI's taxonomy places the organism in Eukaryota, Metazoa, Chordata, Mammalia, Carnivora, Felidae. The record is from RefSeq and is a predicted model, not a curated record. The transcript is spliced from 3 exons.